Molecule: transfer RNA, 66 nt
Filed under: Lordithon exoletus
Lineage: Eukaryota; Metazoa; Arthropoda; Insecta; Coleoptera; Staphylinidae
Description: tRNA-Ile
Source: RNAcentral
AAUGGGAUGCUCGAUUAAUGAGGUUAUUUUGAUAGAAUAAAAAAUGUGGUUGUUCCACUUCCAUUA